GCUGGCGCGCAGGACCGCGGGCAUUUACCCGUGCUUUCCCAAGCCUGGAAGAACUCGUCAUGCUCUUUGUAGCGUGGUGCUUCUGUUGCUCACAGGAUGUUUGCCACACGAGUCACUCGAGAGAAUCUCUGAGUCCUGGCGAGGGCUUUCUGAGGCUUCGUGUGUUAGCAGCUGUUGUCUUCCAACUCAGCGGCAGGUUUGCCUUUCCCCACGGACACUCUGGACCUUGUAGCUCCUCAAGCUUCCCUGUCUAUUGAGCAGAUAGGAAGCCGUGUCAAAUAUGUGGCACCUUGAGGAAAUGCCUAGUGAAUGACAGUAUGUCCUAUUGUGCUCUAACUUUAUUUCAGCCUUAUUUCUUUUCUGAAUAUUAUUUUUCAUUUAUCUUCAUUUCCUUACCUAUUUUCUUUUCUUCUAAAGUAUGUAUCUUUGUUAGCUCCAUCAUCCUUUUUGGAAUGAGCAAGUAUAAAAAUAAGUAAAUAAAUAAGACCCAUCCUAAGUAUUUUAAGAAACCACCCUUUUGCGGCACACUUGCUACCUUGGUCUUAGCUCUGGGCUUUGGUGUCCUCUGGCAGUCCUGCUGCAUUGCCUUCUCUCCCCCAUCUGCCCACCCCUGUCCCAGAGAGAUUUUUCUGUAGCCCCUCAUCUGCAGAGUCCGACAGCUCAGGGUCGAGGGUCUUUCUUAGCAGUAAUCACCCACUAUGCUCUCACCCCUCCAUUUCUGGACAUGCUUCCUGUGGCUUCUCUCCUGCGCUUUACACUUCAGCAGUUCUUGUUUCUGCUCACUCUGCCUUUGUUUGUCAUUUCCUGGAUUUGAAGCUGUUCUGCUCUUUUCACCUUUCUCUUCUCAAGGUAAACUUCCUCUGUGAAACCUCCGCUGAUGCCCUGCAGCAAGGUUGACCACUUCCUGAGUGUUACUUCCUCUCUUGGUGCAUAUGUCUGGUUGCACUAACCAGGCUGCUGCUAGCCCAAAGGCACCUUUGUGCAAAUUAGAAAAAGACAACCAUCCCCAUCCCUUCUUCAAGAUACUUUAUAGUACUUCCAACUGUUGGCAAACUGUCUUAAUAAAGAUACAAAUCUUUGAUUUCUCUAAUGUGCAUGGUGCCCUACAAGGGUUGUGCAGUGCAUAGCCGUGCAGUUGCAUGUGAUAGAUCUAUGUUAUAAUUAUUUGUUUAAUUGUCUGUAUUCCCCUCAGGACCAAGGAAAAUUCCUUAUAUCUUGAUACUGUUUUUAUAUUCUUACUGUCUGACCAGAUCAGACCCUCAGUAACCGUUUGCUAAACAAAAGAAGGAAUGAAGGUACAAAUAUGUAUCCACCUUGUCUGGAAAAAUAGCAGGAAAGGCAUGCCUGCCAAGGACUUUUACACUGAACAGACAACUUGCCUUUGAUGAUUUUCAAGAGAGUUGUGCUAUGAUGUGGCAAAAGUAUGCAGGAAGCAGGCGGUCAAUGCCUCUGGGAGCAAGGAUCCUUUUCCACGGUGUGUUCUAUGCCGGGGGCUUUGCCAUUGUGUAUUACCUCAUUCAAAAGUUUCAUUCCAGGGCUUUAUAUUACAAGUUGGCAGUGGAGCAGCUGCAGAGCCAUCCCGAGGCACAGGAAGCUCUGGGCCCUCCUCUCAACAUCCAUUAUCUCAAGCUCAUCGACAGGGAAAACUUCGUGGACAUUGUUGAUGCCAAGUUGAAGAUUCCUGUCUCUGGAUCCAAAUCAGAGGGCCUUCUCUACGUCCACUCAUCCAGAGGUGGCCCCUUUCAGAGGUGGCACCUUGACGAGGUCUUUUUAGAGCUCAAGGAUGGUCAGCAGAUUCCUGUGUUCAAGCUCAGUGGGGAAAACGGUGAUGAAGUGAAAAAGGAGUAGAGACGACCCAGAAGACCCAGCUUGCUUCUAGUCCAUCCUUCCCUCAUCUCUACCAUAUGGCCACUGGGGUGGUGGCCCAUCUCAGUGACAGACACUCCUGCAACCCAGUUUUCCAGCCACCAGUGGGAUGAUGGCCUCCCUAUUCCCUGAGACACAACAGUAUUGAAAUUGGGCCAAUUAAUAACCCCACAGUGGCCUCUCACUAAAUGUGAGAGGUGAGGAAGCUGCAGGAGAAAAUUUGAAGCUAGCAGUGUUCAUGAGAUGUAAGUAAAGAAGCCAUCUCCAUAAAAGUACAACGUGACGCAGCAAGUGCUGAUGGAGAAGCUGUAGAAGUUACACAGAAGAUCUAGCUUGGACCAUCGAUGAAAGUGGCUACACUAAACAACAGAUUUUAAAUGUAGAUAAAACAGCAUUUUAUUGGAAAAAGAUGCCAUCUAGGACUUUCAUAGUUAGAAAAACUCAAUGCCUGGCUUCAAAGGACAAGCUGACUCUUGUCAGGGGCUAGUGCAGCUGUGACUUUCAGUUAAAGCCAAUGCUCAUUGACUAUUCUGAAAAUCCCAGGGCCCUUAAGAUAUGCUGUAUAAACGCAACAACAAAGCCUGGAUGACGUUGGGUCUGUUUACAGCCUGGUCUACUGAGUAAGCCCACUGUUGAGACCUAGUGCUCAGAAAAAAUAGAUUUCUUUCAAAAUAUGGCUGGGUGCAGUGGCUCACACCGGUAAUCCCAGCACUUUGGGAGGCUGGGGCGGGUGGAUUGCUUGAUGCCAGGAGUUCAAGACCAGCCUGGGCAACAUGGUGAAACCCUGUCUCAAAAAACAAAUCCAAAAAACCAAAAUAUUGCUACUCAUUAACAAUGCACCUGGUUACCCAAGAGCUCUGAUGGAGAUGUACAAGGAGAUGAAUACUGUUUUCAUGCCUGCUAACACAGUAUCCAUUCUGCUGCUGAUAGAUCAAGAAGUACUUUUGACUUUCAAAACUUGUUAUUUAAGAAAUACAUUUUGUGGUUUCUCUGAUGGUUCUGGGCAGUCAGUUCAAAACCUUCUGGAAAGGAUUCACCAUUCUAGAUGCCAUCAAGAGCAUUCAAUUCACGGGAGGAGGUCAAAAUAUCAACAUUAAUUGGAAUUUGGAAGAAAUAGAUUCCAAUCCUCAUGGAGGACUUGGAGGGUUUCAAGACUUCAGAGGAGGAAGGAACUGUAGAUGGGCUGAAAAUAGCAAGAGAACUAGAAGUGGAGGGGCCUAGAGAUGUGACCGAAUUGCUGUAACCUCAGGAUCAAACUUGUAUGGAUGAGAAGUUCCUUCUCAUGGACGAGCAAAGAAGGUGAUUUCUUGAAAUGGAAUCUACUCCUGGUGAAGAUGCUAUGAACAUUGUUGAAAUGACAAAAGAUUUAGAAUAUUCCAUAAACUUAGCUGUGGCCAGGGUUUGAGAGGAUUGACUCCUAAUUUUGAAGUUCUACUGUGGGUAAAUGCUGUCAAACAGCAUUGCAUGCCACAGAGGAAUCUCUCAUGAAAGAGUUAAUAAAUGCAGCAAACUUCACUGUUGUCUUACUUUAAGAAACUGCCACAGUCACUGCAGGCUUCAGCAACUUAUCUUUUCCUACCCUCCUCUCGCAUUUAAAAGUACUUUUAAAUUAAUGUAUGUACAUUAUUUUUAGGCAUAACACUGCUGCUCAUUUAAAAAAACUACAGUAUGAACCAUGUUAUAUGCAGUGGAAAGGCAAAAAAUUCAUGUGACUUACUUGCUUGUAUUUGGUUUAUUGCAGUGGUCUGGAACUGAAAGUGAUGCGUAUUUCUGAGUUAUGCCUGUAUUUAAGAAGCUGAGUGAAACCCAAAGAAGUCCAUGAUAGGACAGACUUCUGAAAACUAAAGACAGAAAAAAGCUUGAAAGCAUCAAGAAAGAAGUGAAAUCUUAGCUAGAGGGAAAAGUAACUCAGAUGACAGUGGAUUUCUCUCUGGAAACCAUGGAGGCCAGAAGGAAGUGAGACAAGUUCUUUUAGUGCCAGAAGAACUAUCAACUUGUGGCUGGGCACGGUGGCUCACACCUGUAAUCCCAGCACUUUGGGAGACCAAGGUGGGCAGAUCACUUGAAGUCAGGAGUUUGAGACCAGCCUGGCCAACAUGGCAAAACCCUGUCUCUACUAAAAAUACAAAAAUUAGCCAGGCAUGGUGGCACAUGCCUGUAAUCUCAGCUACUUGGGAGGCUGAGGCACGAGAAUUACUUGAACCCGGGAGGUGGAGGUUGCAGUGAGCCAAGAUCCUGCCACUGCACUCCAGCCUGGGCAACAGAGCAAGACUGCCUCAAAACAAAACUCUGUCAACUCCAAAUUCCUAUUUGGUGAAAUGAUCCUUCAGGAUUGAUGGGGUAAUAAAAACAUUCUCGGUUGAUAGAAAACUAAAAGAAUUUGUUGAAUGAGUCUACCCUAUAGACCUUGAAAAGACCAACCCUAAAGGAAGUUCUUGAACCAGAAAGGAAACAUUUAAAAAAAAAAAGUUUUGGGAUGUCAGGAAUAACGAUGGAAACAGCAAAAAUAUGGGUAAAUACAAUAGACUUUCCUCCUUGAGUUUUCUAAAUUGGUAGUGGAAGCAAAAUUGUCUGACAUAGAUCUCAAUGUACGUAGCAGGUUAUGUUUAAGACAAUUAUAAAUGGGGUGGGGAGGGGACGGGCAAGAGAGUUUUCUACAUUUCACUCUAACUGGUAAAAUGUAGAUAUCAACAGAUCUUUAUAUAGCAGUGAAGCAGUUCCAUAUCUCAAAUGUGUUGGUAGGAAGAUAAAAUGGCAUAAAAUGAUAUACAUUGUGCAAAUAUCAAUUUCCUGUAGUUACGUAAAGAUGUAUCUGUACUGUCUUUUCAACUCCCUGUAAGUCUGUAACUAUUGCGAAAUCAAAAGCUUUAAAAAGUAUAGGAUGAAAGUAUUGAAUAUGCUGCUUUAAAAGGGACAGGGUACAGUUUUAUUGGCUUAGAGAAAAAAAGCGGGGGCAGGGAUGAGGUGACAGUCCUCCUCACCUGAAUAAUUGCAGCUGAGGAUUAAACAUAUCUCUUCCCAAAUACUUUAUCUUCUAGGUAUACUUCUCUUACAAUUUAUUAGAAAGCUGGUUACUUGAGAUAACUAAAGAGAUACUAAUUUUCAUGCAAACCCAUCACAAUGUAUUGAAACUGAGAUACUUUUCUGCUGCUAACAUAUUUAGGAAAAAUAGUUUUAUUUUUAGUAAAUAAAAUCUCCACUUAUUUCAAUAAAAAUGGCAAGGAGAAAAUGUCAUAAGAUUAUCCUGCCAUGUAAAAUAAGCUGCUCCCCAAAGGACUGUGUCAAGAUUGGUUUUAAAUAGAAAAUAUCUAUUUUAAAUAUAUUUAGAUUAUAAUUGCCUGGGGGUUGGCAAACUUUUUCUGUAAAGGGCCAGAUACUAAAUACCUUAGGCUGUACGGGCCUUCAGAUCUCUGUCACAACUGUUCACCCGCGCGGUGUAGUGUGAAGGCAUCCACAUACAAAAUGUAAACACACAGGUGUGGCUGUUCUAAUAAAACCUCACCAAACAGGCAGCACAGGCCACAGUAUGCUGACCUCUGCACUAGCCUCAUCUCAGGUUAACUGUCCUCUAGUUAUUAAAAAAGAAACCCAAAAUUAAGUUACACAAAAGUAAUUUUUAAAAACUACUUUGGACGUUAAAAUGGGGCCAAAGGUAGAAUCCACGGAGGUAAAAGUUCUUGACGAGCAGUCAGGAAAUCUGAAUGAUUCUGUCCUUUGUUCUGCCCAUAACCAGCUGUGAGCUCUUGGGCAAAUCACAUAUUCCCUCUGCGAUUCCAUUAUUGCAUCUCUAAUCUGAAAAAGUAGAGGAGGGAUUCCAUCCAAUUUUGUUACUAUAAAUUUCAGUUCAAGCAAACUUACUCCCACUGUUACCAACAAAAGUUUCAAAAGACUCAUUUAAAUAAUUUAUAACAUAGUUCUGGUUAGGCAUGAUGAGCUAAAAAUGAGAGUUGGGGUAUUAAAAGCAAACAAAAAAAGCUGAAAUAUGAAGACUAUCCAAAAAACAACAGCAUCAAAAACCAUGAAAUACACAGGGAUACAGUUAAAGGAUAUAUAGGAUCUCUGCACUGAAAAAUGUAAAACACUGCUGAGAAAAAAUGAAGUAAAUGGAAAAACAUGUUUAUGGAUUGGAUGACUACUUGACUUAUAGAUUCAGUGAAUCCUAAUAAAAAUCCACAAGGCUUCUUCUGGGAGUAGUUUGGUGGAAAUUGACAAAAUUUAUUUGGAAAUGCAAAGGACCUAGAAUAAACAAAGCAGUUUGCAGAAGAAGAAAUUAGAACGUCUGUUUUACCUGAGAUCAAGACUUACCAAGUUUUGACAAAAAGAUAAACAGAAUGGAACAAAACUAGAGCCACAGAUAUAUGGUCAAAUGAUUUUAGACCGGGCACCAAAACAGUUUAACAGUGAAAGGAGACUCUUUGACAAGUGGUGCUGGAACCACUGAACGUUCAGUAGAAUGUUCAAAGGUAUUUGAUGCCUACCUACUUUAUGGCAUAUAAAAAUACUAAUUCAAGGUGAAUCACAGACCUGAAUAUUCGCUACAACUAUCAUACUCCUAAGAAAAAUAAGAGUAUCUUCAUGAGCUUGGGUAGGCAAAGACUUCUUAAAGAGCACAAAGAAAGCAUUAACUAUAAAACAAAAAUUCAUAAAUUGGAUUUCACCAAAACUAAACCCUUCUUCUCAUCAACAGAUACUACUGAGAACAGGCAAGCUAUAGAGUGGGAAAAGAUAUGUGACACAUAAAUCUGACAAUCCUUUAUGUCCAGAAUGCACAAAGGAGUCCUAUCCAAUUAAAAGGAAAAAAGGACAUGAAAAGUACUGUCCAUUAGUCAUCAGGGAAAUGCAAACUAAACCACCAUGAGAUACCGCCACAUAUCCAGAAGCAUGGCUAAAAUGCAACAGGUGGACAAUACCAAUUGUCGGCAAGGAUGUAAAAAACAACCAGAGUACAAUGUGCUGGCAGGAACACAAAACAGCACAAUGGUUUUAGAAAACUGUUGGGCAGUUUCUUAAAAAGUUAAAUAUACAGCUACCAUAAGACCUAGCAAUUCUACUCCUAGCUUUUUAAUCCAAGAGAAAUGAAAACAUGUCCACAAAAAUCCCUGUACAAGAAUAUUUAUAGCACAUUUAUAAUAGCCCCACAGAAACAGCUCAGGGGUCCAUGAACAGAAGGAUAGCUACAUAAACUGUCAUGCAUUCAAAUAGCACGACACAACAAUAAAAAGGAACAAACCAGGCUGGGCAUGGUGGCUCACGCCUGUAAUCCCAACACUUUGGGAGGCUGAGGUGGGUGGAUCACUUGAGGUCAGGAGUUCGAGACCAGCUUGACCAACAUGGUGCAACCCCAUGUCUACUAAAAAAAAAAUACAAAAAUUAGCCGGGUGUGGUGGCGCAUGCCUGUAAUCCCAGCUACUUGGGGAGCUGAGGCAGGAGAAUCCCUUGAACCUGGGAGGUGGAGGUUGCAGUGAGCCAAGAUCCCACCAUUGCACUCCAGCCUGGGCAACAAGAGCAAAACUCCAGUCUCAACAACACAACACAAAACAAAACAAGAAAAAGCAACAAACUGCUGAUAUAAGCAUCGACAUAGAUGAAUCUCAAAGACAUCAUGCUGAGUUACAGAAGCCAAAUGGUGCAUGCUGUAUGAUUCCAACUACAUGAGUUUGAGGAUAAGGAAAACCAGUGCAACAGAACAGGAGUGUGGUUAAAGGAGUGAGUACAUUUGUCAAGCCUGAUGAGACUGUAUGGAUUUAGAUCUGUACAUUUCAUGAUAUGUAAAUUAUAUCCCCUUCUCUCCAAAACAAUAGUGAUUAAGGCUCUCGAGGUUAAGAUCAAGGUGUUCAAUCUAGCUUUUUAAAUUCCGCAACAGAUAGAAUGGAUGAGGUGGCCAAUCUUGGACAAUAAAUAUAGUACAUGGCUAUUUUUCAUUUUUAUCAGUCUAAUUCAAAUUGAGGUGUGAGUUUAAAAUGUAUUUAGGAUUAGUCUGCUGAUGCUAGUCAUCUUUCUCCUAUCUAUAUUCAUGUAUGUUGGUGUCCAUGGAUUGGUAUUUAUUUUUUCUAAACAGGUAUAGGCCUCUAUGGACUGAGUCACGCACCACCCCCAUUACAUUACUGAGGACUAUAAUUCAUGUUCUGUCUCACAUUCUCUAAGUGAUCUUUAUAACCCUUUAAUACAUUUUUCUUCCAAACUGAGGUUAGCUGGAAAAAUUUAAGAGAUUCAACAAUGAGCAUCUGUCCUUCCUCUAUACCACUACUAGAGAAAGGUAUUAAUUACCUCCUAGUUUUCAUUUGAAAACAACAAAACACAAGAUCAAUCAAAUAUCAUUUCCCAGUUGAUUAAAACUUAUACAUUUUAUACAUUUCAUAAACAACGUUUCACCACACCAAAAUAUUGUUGAAUUAUAGUUAAAACUGGAUUUAUAAACCGAGUAAACUCAAUAGUACUGUUUAGUCCUUUAUAAAUUUGGUGAUAGAAAAAAAGGAACAUUAACAGCUUUAGAUAAGUGUAGAGCUAGCUGGCAGUUAUUAAUAGAUUUUAUUUGGCCUAAUACUAUGAAGGCUCUUCAUGCCCUGUUUUUAUCUUAUAAACCAAAAAAUGCCAAUACACCUUUACAAGUAUAUUCUGAAGGGCCUCUUAAAAAAGCACCCUAUGACUCAGUAUUUAAGCACAACAGCAGCUAAAGAUACGCAGCAAACUGAAGUGGCCAGCUAAAAGAAAACAGAUCUUUCUCACAAAUACAGCAAUUAUAUUAAAUAUAUUUAUUACGAGUAUAAAAUGGUUUUUAAAAAGCCCAAAUGAUUCUGAUUUUAAAACUUGAUGACAGAUCCAUCAAGUACAAACGUGUCAUUCAAUAGUGGUUAUUUUUUCCUGGUCACCUCCUCCCUAUUUUUUCAGAGAGAUAAAUAUUUGCCUAAUACUGUGUUUAACUUCUUCCAAGACUUACCUGAGACUCAAAACUGUGGCCAUGGAUAUUCAUUAAAAACUCUAUCACUGUGGCACAAUUUCUUCUUCUGCAUUUUGGAGCUUGUUUAGGAAUGCUAGGUUCCAGGAAACUGUAUAAAUAAAGCCAAUUUAGUGAGAAAACAGUGCAACCUGGUUGUCUGAAGUGCCUGAUGAAUUUCACCUAAUGGUGUAAAGGGCACUCCCAGGUGCUUUGACAGGUUCACACAGCAGGACUGGGUGAGAUUACUGACUUUGUAUAUGUCUAUGACAUUUACACACAUUUGGGUAUUUACUGUACAUACUUUAAAAUAGUGGUUAGGUGCUGUCAUUUUCAUGAUUUUGACAGUUGAGAAACCAUGUUAGGGAGAGAGCUUUGUGUGACACCCUAAUCAGACCGUGAAGGGACAGGUCUGAGUUGUUCAUAGUGCAGAGCGAGGCAUGGCCACGGUACACAGCACACAGGUGAUAGGCAAAUAUUUAAUGCACUGAGCCUUUUGUGUGUAAGGAUAAUUAGUUACUUUAAGGUAUUCGGCAUACACUUUUACAUUUCCAUAUUUUAAUUGGACUUUACUGGUCACUGUGGGGCAUAGAUACAACUGAACUGUUCAAUCCUAAUCAAAUAAAACUAUUAGUACAUUCUUAUACAUCUUUUUGGGACAAAGUACCUCCUACUUACAGAGUAUCCAAUGUAAAUUUUUUAUGGACAAAGUAAAUGUUUAUAAAUAUUUUGGCAUUUUAUAACUUUUCCUAGCAUAGCUUGAGGGCUGAUAAGAAACUCAGCAGAAACAGGCUGUGGUUGGCAUGAAGACACUCUCUCUCUCUCUCUCUCUCUCUGCUCUAGGGGAUUUUACUCACUUUGGGACAAAAGCAAUAUAGUAGCAUCUUUUCACUGACCAAGGUAACCAGAGUGUUGAUCAGAUCACACUGAUACCUACAAGUGGCCAAAAUUAAAUGACAAGCAUGGGGGGAGGUGCCAGGAAGUGGCAGGGGUAUAGAGUGUGAGAGAGAACAGAUGCAUGUGAGUGUGGUGUGAUGAGGGAAGCAGCUCAAGAGCUGACACCUAAACCCAGAAUAAUUUCAGAGGUGAAAAAUUACCACCUCUCUUACUAGUGACAUUGAAGAGAAAAAAAAUUAGGGUUUUUCACUGAUAUGUUACUAGUAUUUAGGCAAAAACACAACAGAAACCAAAUCAAGUCACUAUAAAGCAGUAAGAAAAUAUUUAAAAAAGACAUUAUCAAACUUUAGUGAAUGUUAUUCUAAGUCUCGAAAAUUUAGAUGUCUGUUUAGACUAAAAUUUUGCCAAAAACAAAUCCAAAGUGAAAAAGUAGCAAUUUUAGUAGACAUUAACAAACAUUAUGCAGAUAUAGAUACACAUAUGAAUAAUGCAAGAGAUUUACAGAAGUGUAGUUUUGGCACUUUUACUUGGAUUUUUUAAAGAAAGUGAAUACAAAUAUCUUUGUACACAAAUUCUCAUUCUGGAGAAACAGGAUGUAGAAUUCAAAGGUGCCAACAUCUCCCUUCUUAAAAAUAACAUUGAAACGGGUAACUGUACCUGUUAAAUCUCCUGGUUGGCAACUUUUAAAAUCUGGCUUCCACCUAACUCCACAAAUUUGACAAAGUUAUUUUUGUUUGUGUAAGUGAUACUGGUUAUCCACUUCCAGUACAUGUACCAUUUGGCCAGAGGUCCAUAAAUAAUAUUAACAUUUUCAAUGUAGAAAUCUUGAAGUUCUAAAGGGAAAUAUUGCUCAGUAGAUAAAUUCUCCUGGAAUUUCUUGUAGCAAAGGUUCCUCAAAUUUAAAUCGUUUGGAAAUGGCCUUUUGCUCCAUUUUCUCUUUUUCAGACUGUCUGCAUUGUCCUAGAGUAUAUGAAGUAACUACAAUUAACUCUUCGGUUACAAUGGAUUCCUUGGUUUCUGAUUUGUCGGUAUCCGAAUUAAUUUCAGGCACAGAAUGACCUUCUUGGAGGGCAUUUGCUUCUUCUAGUGCCUUUUCCAUCCUGAAAGAAGGCUCUUGAAUACUGCUCUGUGUCAACCAGGGGUGCUUUAGACAUUCUUCAGCAGUGGCUCGAUCUCUGUAAAGAUACAUGUUUUACAGUUAAGACAUGUUAGAACUUCAAUUAAAAUUAGAGCAUAAGUUGCACCUGGACUUGAUAUGAAAGUAACCAUCAGAAAAUCAACAGAGAUCUUAAACUUGCCUACCACAGACACCUGCAGGAAUAUACUAAGAAUCAUCAUAGUGGACCUUUAUUGUCUCCUGAGCACCCAUUCUUUGUUCUUUCAGAAACACAACUGGUUUUGAGAAUCCAUCCCUUCUUCACUCAGUCCACGUAAAGGUUAGGAUGGUAGAAAGUGUUAUACCUCUUCCUCCAGAGUUGGAGCCUAUGACACUGAUGACACUGGCAUGGAAAGCCAAAGCCCUACACCAACCAGCACACUUACUGGUUCCAAAUUGAUCUACGCUGGUGUAAUCAGAGUGAAUCUCAGAACUUUGGACAGAGCUGUGAGCAGAGACUGACUUUCCUGCUGUCUCCAGGUAGCUGCAAGGCUGAACAGCAGCACCUACUUUAUUACCAUCUUACUGUCAUUCAAAGAAGGCAGAGCUGAAUGCUGGAGAAAAACUGAGUACUAGCAACAGUUUUUGAACCCUGAAUACUGUCAUAACUGAAGCUAGAAUUAUCCCUGGACUUGUUUGCCACUAAAAUUUCCUUGUUUUGCUUACCCUGGUUUCAGCUGGCACCCUGAUCACUUGAAAGGAACAUAACUGAUAUACUGUCCUUUGUUUUUCUUUCCUUCCUCUUCUCCGCCUUUGAUGAUUUUAAAUUAGAAAUCUACCUGCCUCUAAUCUCUUUAAUUUUCUCAUUUAUUUACUGCUGCCUAUUUUCCAAAACACUGCUUCUCGAAUAUUCCUGGCUCAAAAAUCAUCUAUGUCUUCAUGACAUAUGAAACCCCUAGAAUCCAGCCUUUCCCCAGCUUUUAAUAUCUCCUAAUUGAUUUCUCAAUUCCAGUGAAAUGAUUCCAUUUAUUUUUUUCCCAAACACAUCACAAAUAUUCCUAACUCUUGUGAGCAAUUUUCUCUCAUUCUUCUCAACUUAUCUAAAUCCUAACUUUUCAAAAGAUCUAGCUCAAGUUCUGUCUUAUCAUAUUUUGAGUUCCUUUCUUUGGCAUUGUAUUAUUUUGUAUCUUUCCAUGUACACAUGUGUGCAUUAUCUCCCUGAUAAAACUAACUGGCUAGAGGAUAGGAGUAAAGACUCAAUUCUAAUAUCCUUGUUACCUAAUAAUACACAAACGUGAAACAUGUUUGAAUAAAUCACUGUUAAAUA
This is an RNA transcript of Homo sapiens (human), 12120 nucleotides long. It is a transcript of the gene named cytochrome c oxidase assembly factor 1, with no coding region annotated. The record is from RefSeq and is marked validated. NCBI's taxonomy places the organism in Eukaryota, Metazoa, Chordata, Mammalia, Primates, Hominidae. The transcript is spliced from 9 exons.